CAACCCUCGGUCACCACCGGUUUUGAGCCGGCUCGGGUUAGCCCCCGGCCCGGCUUCAAAGUUGUAAGCUCUGCUGGACGCGUAGCCCCAACCAGAACAUAGUAAAACUCUUGCUCGUUCGCAGGUGAAGGGCGGAAGCGGUACGGCCUGAACAAAACCUACCAAAUCUCAAG
RNAcentral lists this unclassified non-coding RNA (173 nucleotides) under uncultured Dactylellina. Its description in RNAcentral is "sequence contains ITS2". Lineage: Eukaryota; Fungi; Ascomycota; Orbiliomycetes; Orbiliales; Orbiliaceae. The record is from RNAcentral.